This is a transfer RNA of Helobdella robusta, 88 nucleotides long. It matches the Rfam family "tRNA". Rfam says of the family: Transfer RNA (tRNA) molecules are approximately 80 nucleotides in length. Their secondary structure includes four short double-helical elements and three loops (D, anti-codon, and T loops). The record is from Rfam. Lineage: Eukaryota; Metazoa; Annelida; Clitellata; Rhynchobdellida; Glossiphoniidae.
GACUCCGUGGCGCAAUGGAUAGCGCGUCGGACUUCUAGUGGUUGAAGAUGUAAUUCGGAGGUUGUGGGUUCGAGUCCCACCGGAGUCG